GCAAGUCGAACGAUGAAUCUUCUAGCUUGCUAGAAGUGGAUUAGUGGCGCACGGGUGAGUAAUGCAUAGGUUAUGUGCCCUUUAGUCUAGGAUAGCCAUUGGAAACGAUGAUUAAUACUGGAUACUCCUUACGAGGGAAAGUUUUUCGCUAAAGGAUUGGUCUAUGUCCUAUCAGCUUGUUGGUGAGGUAAUGGCUCACCAAGGCUAUGACGGGUAUCCGGCCUGAGAGGAAGGUC
RNAcentral lists this ribosomal RNA (236 nucleotides) under uncultured bacterium. Its description in RNAcentral is "partial 16S ribosomal RNA". It matches the Rfam family "Bacterial small subunit ribosomal RNA", at positions 57 to 305 of the family's 1533-position model. The record is from RNAcentral.